RNAcentral lists this ribosomal RNA (402 nucleotides) under uncultured bacterium. Its description in RNAcentral is "bacterial SSU rRNA". It matches the Rfam family "Bacterial small subunit ribosomal RNA", at positions 32 to 413 of the family's 1533-position model. The record is from RNAcentral.
AAUCAACGCUGGCGGCGUGCCUCAGACAUGCAAGUCGAACGCGAAAGUCCCCUUCGGGGGACAAGUAGAGUGGCGCACGGGUGAGUAACACGUAGGUAAUCUACCUUCGGAUGGGGAAUAACAAUCGGAAACGGUUGCUAAUACCGCAUAAUGCAGCGGCACCUAAUGGUGACAGUUGUUAAAGCGGGGGAUCGAAAGACCUCGCGUCUGAAGAGGAGCCUGCGGCGGAUUAGCAGUUGGUAAGGUAAUGGCUUACCAAGGCGACGAAUCCGUAACCGGCUGAGAGGGCGGUCGGUCACACUGACACUGACAUACGGGUCAGACUCCUACGGGGAGGCAGCAGUCGGGAAUUUUGGGCAAUGGGCGAAAGCCUGACCCAGCAACGCCGCGUGAAGGAUGAAA